Molecule: ribosomal RNA, 594 nt
Filed under: uncultured bacterium
Lineage: Bacteria
Description: bacterial SSU rRNA
Rfam family: Bacterial small subunit ribosomal RNA
Source: RNAcentral
UUAGUUAGUUGGUGGGGUAACGGCUCACCAAGACAACGAUACAUAGGGGGACUGAGAGGUUAACCCCCCACAUUGGUACUGAGACACGGACCAAACUCCUACGGGAGGCAGCAGUGAGGAAUAUUGGUCAAUGGACGCAAGUCUGAACCAGCCAUGCCGCGUGCAGGAAGACGGCUCUAUGAGUUGUAAACUGCUUUUGUACGAGGGUAAACGCAGAUACGUGUAUCUGUCUGAAAGUAUCGUACGAAUAAGGAUCGGCUAACUCCGUGCCAGCAGCCGCGGUAAUACGGAGGAUUCAAGCGUUAUCCGGAUUUAUUGGGUUUAAAGGGUGCGUAGGCGGUCGGAUAAGUUAGAGGUGAAAUCCCGAGGCUCAACUUCGGAAUUGCCUCUGAUACUGUUCGGCUAGAGAGUAGUUGCGGUAGGCGGAAUGUAUGGUGUAGCGGUGAAAUGCUUAGAGAUCAUACAGAACACCGAUUGCGAAGGCAGCUUACCAAGCUACUUCUGACGUUGAGGCACGAAAGCGUGGGGAGCAAACAGGAUUAGAUACCCUGGUAGUCCACGCAGUAAACGAUGAUAACUCGUUGUCGGCGAUAC